CGUAGGGUGCAAGCGUUAAUCGGAAUUACUGGGCGUAAAGCGUGCGCAGGCGGUUUUGUAAGUCUGAUGUGAAAAUCCCCCGGGCUCAACCUGGGAACUGCAUUGGAGACUGCAAGGCUAGAGUGUGUCAGAGGGGGGUAGGAAUUCCACGUGUAGCAGUGAAAUGCGUAGAGAUGUGGAGGAAUACCGAUGGCGAAGGCAGCCCCCUGGGAUAACACUGACGCUCAUGCACGAAAGCGUGGGGAGCAAACAGGAUU
RNAcentral lists this ribosomal RNA (257 nucleotides) under uncultured bacterium. Its description in RNAcentral is "partial 16S ribosomal RNA". It matches the Rfam family "Bacterial small subunit ribosomal RNA", at positions 526 to 779 of the family's 1533-position model. The record is from RNAcentral.